ACGGGAGGCAGCAGUAGGGAAUAUUGCACAAUGGGGGAAACCCUGAUGCAGCGACGCCGCGUGAGCGAUGAAGUAUUUCGGUAUGUAAAGCUCUAUCAGCAGGGAAGAUAAUGACGGUACCUGACUAAGAAGCCCCGGCUAACUACGUGCCAGCAGCCGCGGUAAUACGUAGGGGGCAAGCGUUAUCCGGAUUUACUGGGUGUAAAGGGAGUGUAGAUGGCAUGGCAAGUCAGAUGUGAAAGCUCGGGGCUCAACCCCGGAACUGCAUUUGAAACUGUCAAGCUGGAGUGCAGGAGAGGAAAGUGGAAUUCCUAGUGUAGCGGUGAAAUGCGUAGAUAUUAGGAAGAACACCAGUGGCGAAGGCGGCUUUCUGGACUGUAACUGACAUUGAGGCUCGAAAGCGUGGGGAGCAAACAGGAUUAGAUACCCUGGUA
Molecule: ribosomal RNA, 434 nt
Filed under: uncultured Lachnospiraceae bacterium
Lineage: Bacteria; Bacillati; Bacillota; Clostridia; Lachnospirales; Lachnospiraceae
Description: bacterial SSU rRNA
Rfam family: Bacterial small subunit ribosomal RNA
Source: RNAcentral